GAUGAACGCUGGCGACGUGCCUAAUACAUGCAAGUCGAGCGAACAGACGAGGAGCUUGCUCCUUUGACGUUAGCGGCGGACGGGUGAGUAACACGUGGAUAACCUACCUAUAAGACUGGGAUAACUUCGGGAAACCGGAGCUAAUACCGGAUAACAUGUUGAACCGCAUGGUUCAACAGUGAAAGACGGUCUUGCUGUCACUUAUAGAUGGAUCCGCGCCGCAUUAGCUAGUUGGUAAGGUAACGGCUUACCAAGGCAACGAUGCGUAGCCGACCUGAGAGGGUGAUCGGCCACACUGGAACUGAGACACGGUCCAGACUCCUACGGGAGGCAGCAGUAGGGAAUCUUCCGCAAUGGGCGAAAGCCUGACGGAGCAACGCCGCGUGAGUGAAGAAGGUCUUCGGAUCGUAAAACUCUGUUAUUAGGGAAGAACAAAUGUGUAAGUAACUAUGCACGUCUUGACGGUACCUAAUCAGAAAGCCACGGCUAACUACGUG
RNAcentral lists this ribosomal RNA (497 nucleotides) under uncultured bacterium. RNAcentral describes it as "partial 16S ribosomal RNA". It matches the Rfam family "Bacterial small subunit ribosomal RNA", at positions 28 to 507 of the family's 1533-position model. The record is from RNAcentral.